CGAUUUUAUCCCUAACUUAUAUCCCUUAAAAUCCUAGAAAUUAUCGCUGAAUUUUAUCCCAUAUUAUCCCUAAAAUUAUCUCAUAGGUUAACCCUAAUUUUCCAAAUUUAGUCAAUAUCCCAUAAUUAACCCUCUUUUUUAUAUUAUUAAAAUUAACCCAUUUUUCAAGAAUUAAACCCUAAUUUCAAUAUGUCUAAUUGUUCUAAUUAGGGGUGUUCAGAUCCAAUCCAAU
RNAcentral lists this long non-coding RNA (232 nucleotides) under Lathyrus oleraceus (garden pea). RNAcentral's name for it is "Pisum sativum (pea) long non-coding RNA (PSAT_LNC014686)". Lineage: Eukaryota; Viridiplantae; Streptophyta; Magnoliopsida; Fabales; Fabaceae. The record is from RNAcentral.